This 1846-nucleotide long non-coding RNA is filed under the name Capra hircus (goat). Its description in RNAcentral is "lncRNA (ENSCHIG00010002438.1)". Lineage: Eukaryota; Metazoa; Chordata; Mammalia; Artiodactyla; Bovidae. The record is from RNAcentral.
AUGCGUGCUCCUCAGCUUCUCUUCAAGACCAGCACUGCUGCCCUGCUCCUGGGUCUCUUCCUGACACUGCGGACGGUCCCAACUCAAGGACAAACGCAGAAUGUAAUUUCAAUAACCCUGAGAGUUGAACGAGUUGGGAACUCAGAUGACUAUAUCGUAACACUCACAGUUACAAGUCAUGUACCUGUAUACUUAGUGGUUAAAGCCACACUCGAAGGCUCUGAUGAUGUAACUUUUCCUUAUGGUAAUUUUGUUUACACGGCCUGUCUGUGUCCUAACUGUUCAAAAAAUUUCUUCUGGGACAUACAAGGACCUGCAAAUGGGAUCCUAAUAGGGAAGGCUGAAGUCGUGUCAGAGGAAAAUAUAUGCCCUUCUGAUGUGGAAAUCUCCACCCCUGUUUACAAAGUUUGUAGCAAGCGUGAAAUCGUCGUAACACUCUGAUCUGGAGAGUCUGCUAACUCUGAGGUUGUGAGCAUCUGUGUGGAAUAGAAAAUAAACCUCCCACUGGCUUCUCACUGUGCUGUCUGUGUUCCUUCCCCAAAUCUUAGUACAGUGUCUGCUCAGACACCACAGUGUCCUAAUGAAUCAGUAUUUUAAUAAACCUUCUCAGGGAUGAUAAAUAAGCAUCCAUUUCCUAGCAGACGAGAAGAAAGAGAAGACAGGAAUUUACUCUCACCAUUAAAGUGGGACAGGAAAUAUCCAGAGGGAGAACUGCCCCUAGGGCUUAAAUUAAGGGCAGAACUGAGCGAUGGUUCUAAGGAGCGGUACCCAACCUUAUUGGAAUGAGGGACCAGUUUUGUGGAAGGCAAUUUUUCCAUGGACCUGGUGGUGGGGGGUGAUUUGGGGAUGAUUCAAGCACAUUAUAUUUAUUAUACACUUUAUUUCUAUUAUUAUACCAUCAGUUCCACCUCAGAUUAUCAGGCAUUAGAUCCCAGAGGCUGGGAACCCCAGAAUUAAGUUUCCCUUCUAUUUUAGGACAAUUACAUCCAGCUGCCUCUCCCAGUUAUUGGAAAGUUCAAUGAAUCUGAAGUCCUAAAAUUAUUAUCUCUUGCUGCUCCUGAAAUGGUAGCAAGGAAUAUACUCAUAGGAGCUCAGGUUUGCUGGGAUCCUGACCAGGAUGUUCCUUCCCUUCACCCAAGCUCCUUCAUCACAAUAAACCAAAACAAAAAGCAAGUAGAUACCUAUUGCUAGCGAGAAUGAGGGGCUAUGGGAACCAUUCAGNNNNNNNNNNNNNNNNNNNNNNNNNNNNNNNNNNNNNNNNNNNNNNNNNNCCAGAGACGGCAGCCCACCAGGCUCCCCCAUCCCUGGGGUUCUCCAGGCAUAUAUAAAUAGGUGAAGCCAUCUGGAGAACCACCUGACCUUACUUAAAUUAUGUACAUACCUUCUGAUCCAGCACUUCCAUAACCAAAGGUGAUGGCAAGAGAAAGCAUUUUGAUUCCUGAACUCCUAGGCCUCUCUGUUCUAGUUGUCAAAGACAAAGGACCACUGAAGCACCGAUUUGUUUCAAAAUACAUUCCAUAUCUUGAAGGAUAUCACCCUACACCUACAGGGUGUGAUUCUCAAGUCAUUUCCAUAACUGUUCAUGUAUGAGCUCUCCCAGCAUGCCAUAGGGGCAGUAGUUUCCCGACAAUGUAAUUGAUGAAAAUCAGCACACACCUUGAUCACGUGCCUGUUGUAAGAACUUGUUCAUCUGAAGAAAGGAUUCCGUUGAUCUAAGGAGAUAUGAGAUGGGUCUAGAAGUCAAAUACUCUGUGAGUCCUCAGACAGUAAUGCUGACUAGGAGCUAUCUCCAUCUCAUUUAAUACCUGUGGUGGAGUCCUUGUUGCACUGUCACAGAUGGAUUGAU